UCAAUUGCCUAAAGCAUAUGCAUGCAUCAUGUUUAUAUGUAAUAGGAUGUUUGCACUAGUUUCACGAAUAUGACGCAUUGCAUAAAUUGCUGUGUAUAUGAUGUGAUGGGUGGACCAAGGCGACCUCGAUAGCCCACAAGUCUGUCAAUGAGUCUUUGUCAGUCGGGCAAGUACAUGUAGGAAAGCCCUAUGAGAGCUCCUUCGGGGCCAAGUUUUGACAGAGGGAAUGUUGGGGUCAUGUCUAACCCUGAGGGGAAGGACGUUUCGAGAACCCUCUAAAAUCACCCGCAAGAGGAAGAGAUUUGCUAGCGUGAACUCAAGCGGGGAAGAAAUGUUUGAUGUGUAUUCGUUGUGAUAUGACGCAUUUCAUGAAAGCAUGAAAUAAAAGUAAAAAUAAAAUAAAAUAAAUAAUGAAUAAUAAAAUGAAAUCAUAAUUAAUGAACUGUUUUCUCUGUUUCUACUCACUGGGCUCUUGUAGCUCACCCCAUUCCCUUAAUCCCAGUUUUGCAGGGCCAGAGUAAGUGAGCCAGAGUAAGUCAGAUAGAGCUAUGGGAAAGAAGAGGUUCAAGCAUGGGUUGCCAUGUUUGGUUGUAAUAGCUUAGCUAUGUUUUGUGUAUGUUUAUGGUUAUAGUGGAUGUUAUGUAAGGAAGUUGUUAAAGAGAUGAUAUGUUAUGUAAUGCUAUGUAUGUUUUGUAUGCUUGUUUAGCUUAGUAAUGGACAUGAUAGAUGGACUUGAUGUAUGGUCCUUAUGUAUAUAAAGAAUAUGAUGAAUGGAAAGAGUAAUGAGUAUGUUAUAAAAGAUAGAGCCAAGCUAAGAAAAGUAUGUGAGAUGUAUAGUAUAGAGUUGUGCCUUGCCUAGUGUUGGUAAAUCCCUUGGUUUUGCAGGAUCAAUAUGAAAGUUAAAGAAAUGUUUUAAGAAUGUUUUCAAGUUAUAUGAAAUGUUUUAAUGGUUUGAAGUAUGUAUGGCCGUGAGGGAAGAAAGGGUCUCAAUCCCUUGACCCAAAGCGGAUAUGUUUUUACAGCUAGCUUGAUGACUCAUCUAGUAUGAAGUUCUAUGUUUCUGUACAUAGGUCAAGCUGAAGUAAAGAAAAAGUUUAAAGGUUUUCUGAGAAAGCUUAAGUUUUUAUGAAAAUGCUGAUCUUGUAUGGGAUUGUACCUAGAGUUCAGGAUGUCUAGAGGCUUACUACGGGUCCCGGCGGCCUUAAGCCGAUCUGGAUCCUAGUGCCGAGCAGUUUGGGGCCGUUACAAGAGGUGUACCGGUUUCCGGGUUGUUACAGCCCUAGUCUCAUCACGUUGGCAGCAAGACUCCUUCAAAGCAGACAACUUUGCUAAGGCUUCGUCUCGCUGAGACUCUGCCGCAAAAGCCCGCUGAGAAGCCUUGCCGUCUUCUUCCUUCAUGUCUCCUAGCCGUUUUGUGAGGUCCUCAAUCUGGUUUUGAAACUCGAUGAUAUACCUGCAGGCCCCACCAGUGGCCACAAUGUUCUCCUUACAGUGCGCCUCGGCAAUGUGCUGGUCCAUUGAGCUCUAGAGAGACUAGUCCCGAGCAUCAAUCUCCAUGAACACACCUAACGCCUGUCAAGGGAAGUAGGGGUGAGCAUUCGGUCGGUUCGGUUCAAAACCAAACCGAACCAAAAAAACUGAAAAUCGAAUUGUAGUAUUUACACAAAUCAAACCGAACCGAAUAAGAGGAAUAACCGAAUUGAAUCAAACUGAUUUGGUUCGGUUCGAUUCGAUCGGUUCAAUCGGUCGAACCGAUUGAGAACAACCAAGUUGCUUACGGCGCGGAGAGCCGAUGGACUGGAGAGCGACGACCGACGCCGACGAUUGCGUGGAGGCCGCGAAAAGGCUCUUCUUGCAUGCAACACAUCAGAAAGCGAAAAAAAUGUCAACUACACAAAGAAGCAAGUACUGGGAGAUAGGAUUUGGGUUAGAAGCUAGAGAAAUUGAAAAAACCUUAGGAGAAAACUACAAAUCCACCAGUGACAGAGACAUGUCAACAACACAAAGAAGCAAGUACCGGGAGAGAGGAUUUGGGUUAGAAGCUAGAGAAAUUGAAAAAACCUUGGGAGAAAACUACAAAUCCACCAGUGACGGAGACUCUCUGAGCGCGACACUGAGAUGAGGAGGAGUCGGCGUUGCUAACUAAGUCGCGACUCGCGCAUCCGCAACGUAGUGAAGAUCGAUGACCCAAGUUAGCCGCGAUGGUUAAUCGGUCGAUGUCGAGAGGAGAGUGGAGAGAGAGACUAGAGAUCGAUGACCCGAGUUAGCCGCGAUGGUUAAUCGAUCGAUGUCGGGAGGAGAGUGGAGGUCGGACGGAGGAGAGUGGAGGUCGGACGGUGGACAGUGGACCUGCUGGAAGUGGUGGAGCUCAAUGCUCAGAGAAGAGGCACAGGCAUGUGUGAUGUGAGGCGGCGUGGAAUGGAUAGCGUGAACUCUCAGCUUUUAGAUUUAGGGCAAAUAUAAGGGUACACUUCAAAACGACGUAGUAUAGGUGAUUUCGGUUCGGUUCGGUCUAAUCGAAAUUUUUGAAUCUAAAACCGAACCGAACCGAAAUCACCAAUUUUUUAGAAAAUUAAACUCGAACCGAACCGAAUUAAAAAUAAAACCGAAUCAAAUUUUUGAUUCGGUUCGGUUCGGUCGGUUAUUUCGGUUUAAACCGAAUAGUGCUCACCCCUAAAGGGAAGGCAACAAACAAUGUUAUAGAGAGACUAAAAAAUAGAAAUGCAUUUAAGAAAAGCAGAUGACUUACCAUGAGGAGCAUUUCCCUCAGGCUAUCCCCUAAGUCCUUCUGAGACCGUGAACUGAAGGUCGCCUGCUGUUUGGUGGAGCAGGCAAGAUGGUUGGCAAGAGCGAGGAAGCAGGAAUCAGAAACAUCAACCCCCCCCCUCCCGAACAUCUUCUCCCGCAGCAUCUCAGCCACAAAAGCUGGAGUAGACUCAACAGUCACCUCAGUGGCACUUAACAGCUCGUUGUUUAGGGCAGACGCUAGGUGCUCCACCGCUUUCUUCCCUUUGUCAGCUGAAGGAGAGGGGGGCUGCCUUUGCGGGUUCAGGAGUACAAGUGCAUUUAGCAGCCCUGCCUUCAGUUGUAGUCUCGGUAGUUCGGGUUCGCUUGGCAGCCUGGCCUCCAAUUACGACGGCCCGUACGUCCUGGAUAAGCGGGAUAUCCAAAGGAGCCGCUCCGAUACCUUUUUCUAAGCUACUCCCCACAGACUGACUGAGUGUAAUAGGCUCCCUGGUGGCUUUCUGGGGAGCAGGGAGAGUCUCGACUGAAGCCAAGGCUUUAGCAGGGACAAAGGUCCUAGAUGCGGCAGAGAGAGAGCCCUCGGCCAUAGGCACCAGAGCCCAAGAAGGUGCCGAGAUAGGAGUAGCAUGGCGAACUGCGGGUGUAGAGUCGGCGGUGUGGAAAACCUCGCGAGUCACAUCGGCCAUGAACUUGUUGGCCUUGAAGACCGCCAAGGUCUCCUUCAUACUCUUCCGGGAUAGGGUAAAAUUUUUGGGUAGUCUAAUCUUGUCCAUGGGCACAUUAGAAGCUAAAAAAAGAAACACCAACCCAGUUAAAAUUCAGAGCCACGAGAAAAAACACGACAAGAAAGAAAAAUAGAGAAAUAACAAUACCAGCUUCCCGGCAAUCCUGAAAGCUAGAUAUAAACAUACACUUUUCGACAUUGUACUUCCUCGACACAGAGAUUAGUCGAAGAAGGCAGAUUUGGUCUACCAUAUUUAAUCUAGAAAAGUUGUUGUAGCCCUAGGGAAUCUCCUCCCAAAAAAGAUCGACAUCCUAGCUGAUCUCCGAGCUUUCUUUCAACUCGACUACCACAAAAACGUCAGCCCAGCCUUAGAGUGAGUCCUUGUACCCCGUAAAUAUAGACAACCCAGCUCGGGGACUAAAGUAGUAAAACCCAUGGUUGGACCGGACUAGGUGAAAGAAGGUACAGAAGAUCUCGAUGAGGAAAGGGGUGAAGGGGAAGGUUAGUCCUAAGUUGCGUUGCUUGACAAAAAAGACUAAACUAUGCUUCUAUUGGGCGUCUAUUAGACCUGCCAGAGGGGGAUUAGGAAGUAUGAUCCUCUCAUUAGGAAGAGGGGCCCUAAUUCUAUAGACGAUGGUGUCGACAUAGUCGCUAGAAAAAUAAUGAGAAAGGGAAGAAGGGGUGACAUAAGAGACCAGACCCGUGACAUCAAGAAUCUAGCGGGAUCCAUGAAGGAGUAAGAUGUACCUCAAAUUGAAAAAAUGAGCGUUACAGAGAAGAAAGAGAGCAAGAUAGCAGAAGCAGCGCAAGAGGAGGAGUAGCGAGUGAAAUUAGAAGGGAAAGUUUGAAAUGGGCAAAGGCGAAGAAAAGAUGUUUUGAUGAAAGAGUUCCUUAGAGCCGCGCGGUAAUAAGCGGGGCAUCGGGAUUUCCCUCCUCGUUAAUUAUGGAAUAAUUAACGGGCGGGCAAAGGGGCACUUGAUAAUAGUUGGGCCUCGGACACCUCGGUCCUUACUAAGCCCAUAAGAGAGGACCAGGCCAGAGCCUCAUGGCCACUCAACACACCUGUCCACUUUUCUGGGCGCUGCCCAGGUCUCAGGCUGACAGGACUGACCUAACACGAUCAGGGCCCAAGAUAUCAUAGUCCAGGUUACUCGAUUUGAUGGGUUAGUAGGGCUAUAGACCCCCUAUACAUCCAAGACUAGGCCCAUACAGGCGCUGGAGGAGAUUAAAUAGUCGCCUGACAAUGAAAAAAUGGAGACAUCCGUACAUGCGGCCCUGCAUGAUGAGGACACAUCACUAGAAGACAAAGGAGGAGAGAUAUAGGGAGGAAAGAGAGGAAGCAUAGGGACUAAGCUCACUCACACAUACCAAAACCCUAUCUUCUUCUGAAUCUCAGAUCAUCAAGUGAUUUAUUGUGUUGUUUUCAUUUUUGUAGUGUUGUCCUAUCUAAUUCAUAGGAGUUUUCUGACGGGUGUCGAAUCCGUCAAUUUAAAUUUGUUUCCCUUUUCUUGAUUUAAUAAAAACUUGUAGAUAGGGUGAGUGAGUAUCAAUUCUACAGAAACUUUAAUUCUAUUUAAUUUAGAUGACUAAUUCAAAUAGAAAAGUAGUUUAAUACAAAAAGUAGUUUAAUACAAAAAGUGAGAAGAAUAGAGUUUUUUUAUGAAAGUGGCUUUGCCUUGAGCAAACUAAGAAAAAUAAACUGAAAAGAAAAAAUAAUAAAUAAUGCAAUUGAAAAUUGAGAAACAAAUAAUUAAUUAAAAAUUUCAGCUGAAGGUAAUCAAAUUGAGGUGUUUGGCAAUUGAUGAUUGGUUAGAAAAAAUAAUUCAUGUUAUUAUCUAUUGUUUGGUCAUAGUGGUCAAAUACGCGAAUCCUACCAAUUCUUUCUUGUGAAUAAAUUAAUCCACUUCGCGCUUAAAACGCUUAAAUUAAUUUCUAGUUAACUAACUGUAACAUCCCUAAUAAAAAAAAGUAAUAAAAAAAUAAAAUAAAGAAAUAAUUAAUUAAGUAAUGAACUAAGAAAAAAAAAAGAGAAGAGAAGAAGAAAGAAAAAAAAAGAAAAAUUAAAUUUUAAUAUAAGGACAAGUGGCAAUUUAAAAAAAAAAAAAGAAGAAAAGAAAAAGAAAAAGAAAAGAAGAAAGAAGAAAAGGUUAGCAGAGAACAAAACAAAAAAACCCUUCUUCUAUCUUUCCCAUUUUCUUUCUCCUUCCUGUGCAUAUGAAUAAACUACAUUUCUCCAUCUUUCCUCUUUUACACCAAAAUUGCUUCAAAAUUUCACCUCCAAUUAAUUACCCAUCUUAUCCCAACACCUUUUUAAAGUAAAAUUUGAAGAAAAGAAGAGAAAUCAAGAGAAAAUUUAAGGUUGAAAGAGAGUGAAUAGUAAUCAAGGGUUUGAAAAUUUAAAGGUAUGUUAGGGGUUUUUAUUGUAGGGAUAUUUCUUAUCAUUUUAUGUGAAUAUUUAUGAGAAAUAUUAUAUUAAUUUGAUUUAUUGGUGUAUUUUUUUUCAUGAAGAAGAAGUGGAAGGGAAAGGAAAAGAAAAGGAAAAUUAAGGAAUUUUAAGCUUGAGGAAGAUCUUGGGAAGGUUUGUGCUCAGCUCUAUUUUAAUAAAUUCAAGAAAUUGUUAUUUAUGUUCUAUUUGAAAUUUACUACCCUAGUAGAAAUAGACCAAGUGAACAAUAGUUUAAUUGUAUUUGUAUACUCAAAGUUUGAGAAAUAAUAGAUUUAAUAGAUAGAAAUUUUUAAAAUUAAUAUGUAAUUUAACUAAAAUUUAAGUUAUGGAUAUAAUGAAAUGACUCUAUUUUCUUUGAUAGAAAAAUAAUUUAGUUAGAUAUAGUGACAAUAAAAAAAAUUUAGUAGGCUAAAGAAAAAAAAAAGAAGAGAUAUUAGAUUAAAUGAAAAAAAAAAAAGAAAAUAAAGGAAUAAGAAAAAUGAGACAUAGUGUAAAUAUGAUGUUGAAGAAUAAUAAGAAUAAUAUAAGAUAAAAAUAGGAAUUAAAAAGAAAAAUGAAAUAAGAUAUAUUGUGAUAAAUUGAAAAAAAAAUAGAUAUGAUAUGACAAUGUUUAAAAGCAAUGUUUAAAAGCAGAGUUGUAAUAUGAUAAAAUAUUAUAGUUUGAAGAAUUGACAGUUACACUGUAUUGAUAAUUUUUGCCCCCCUGUUUAAAUGUAUAAAUUAUUCAAAGUCUGGCCCUAGUGAAUUUGGUGGGUAUUGUGAGUUAGUUUAAUGGUGUGGCAUGCCAUAUACAGAUCUUGCUGCACUACAGUUACACUGAUUCUUGGGAUACAAUGAGGUAUCCUACAAUUAUAGAAUCGGCUUUUGAGCCAUACAGUUAUAUGGCACUUUGUGCCCUACAGUUACAGUUUCCUUAUCUGACUUAACAGCCCCAUUUAAAUUUAUAGGAGCCAAUAGAAAAAUAAUAAAUAAAUAAAAGUAUUAAGAGAAAAUAAAACUUUUUACAUGAUGAAGAAAAAGAAAAUGGUUAUGAAAUUAAAAUAUGUAUAUCUAUGUGAAUUAAUAAUAUGAUUUAAAGUAUUUCAAAUUAUUUGUUAUAUAGCUAUUUGUCAUUUGUUUGAAUUACUGUUAUUAAAUGACUUUUGAUUUAAAUGUUUUAUUAAAAAAAACAAAGUUGACCAUCACUAAGCAAAUUACUUAGCGUGUAGAAAUUUAUUUUUCCUCGCGCAGGCUAUAGAUUUAAGGAACAGUAGAGCAAGAUCUGCAUCAGCCCAGUCAGAGUUACAUCAUUGACUAUCCUGGGGUAUAUUUUGUAAAUUUUUAUAUGAAUUUGAUUUUAGAAUAUGACAUGUACAUAAAGUUUUAGAGAUGAAGUUGUAUAUGAUUGGUAUUAGAUAUAUUUUUUAAAUAUUUAAGUUUGAUAUAAAUAUGGAUGAUUAGUAUAAGUUUCUGUAUUAAGAUUAAUGAAAUGUUAUGAAGUGUUUGAUCUGAGUUGAAUCUGUGUUGAUGUUGAAAAAAGUUUGGGGGUUAAGGUUGAAAUUGAUAGAAGUAUAAUAUUACUAUUCACAGGUGGAAUUAAAUCCAUAUAUUAGGGGAAACUCUGUCAGAUUUUCGGUAGAAAAAAAAAACACCAUGAUUUACAUGUUAUAAAAUAAAGGAAAAAUAAGAGAAUUGUUACAGAAUGUAAUGUCUCCAGUUCAAUUAAGUAGUUAACCGGGUAGGGGGUGUUACACUAACAACUCUAACACGCGUGUAGAUUUAAUUAGUCAACUGUACUAAGAGAUAAGAACUCAUACUUUGAUCAAUAAAAAUACGCGAUUUAUUUAAAUUAAAUAUACUAAUUCCUUAACAUAAAUUAAUAUGUUGAUUGCUACCUGUUAUUAAUCUAAUUAAACAAUUAUGGAUCUAAUUGGAUUAAUUAGCAGUAUGUUGUCUUCCUUGGACCCCUUGAAUUUUCAAGAAAACAAUAAUAGAGGUGGUGUUUCUCGAAUUCAGAAAUUAAUAGAAAAUAAAAAUAAAAUAAAAAAAUUGAAGUACAUAACCUCACAACUUGAAUGAAAUCUCAAUGUAAAUUAACUUUCAACUAAAAAUAAUUGUUUAGCCUCUAAGAGUCAUAAUAAAAUUGCAAAAACUAAAGAAAAAAAGAGAAGGAAAAAAAAAAAGAAAAAAAGAAAAGAAGAAGAUGGAAAACAAGAAGAUGGAAAAGAAGAGAGAGGGGGGCAGCACCAAGAGAGGAGGAAGGGGAGAGGAGAAAAUAUGAUAUGCUUAGGUUUAAGUUUAGAAACCUUUAUAUAGAUAAAAAAAGAUAAAAUUUAAUAAUUUAAAAUAAACUCUACUACUCCUAUCUUAUCCCUAUCUUAAUAUGAUUGUGUUUGAUCCAACUUGAAACUGAUAUUAUCCUUACUUAGGUGGCAAAAUCGGGCUGAGGUGGCAAUUUUUGAAUUCUAGAGAUGUCCAUCGUCUUGGGCUACAGGCUUGCCCAAGGCUGUAAUCUUUCAGUCUGAAAAUCUUUUAAUUCAGCCUCUUUUCAUUCCUUUUCUUGACUUCCGCUCAAAAUUUUUUCCAAAAUCAAAUUUCAAUUAAAAAUUAAUUAUUUAUAUCAAAAUUAUAACAAAAUUAUGGAAUUUAAUAAAGAAAAAGUGGUGAGUUUUGCGACUUAUCAGAUUCCUCCACACUUGCACCUUUACUUGUCAUCAAGCAUAGAAAUUCAAAAUAAUAAAAACAAUAAAACACAUUCAUAUCCUCAACCAAUCUGAAAUUUAAUUUAUUCAAAACAAAGAACCAAAUUGUCAUGCAAUAGGAUGAUAGUAAAAAUAACUUAAUUUAACCAAAGUUCACUUUAACAAGUUUUAUGUUUAAAAUGUGUUUCAUAUGACAUAAAGUUGGUCCUCAAUUCAAUUUUAAGCAUAUAAAAUAUUAGAAUAUCAUAUAAUAUUAAAUUGUCUUUUUGAAAGAAUAGAAUCUUAUGAACUCUUGAAUAGACUAAUAAAAUUUAAAGACUUUGAGAAUUAUUUUUUCACUUACUACUGUAUCUUGCCUGAAACCGAUGGAGUAAACGUGAAAUAAAUGGUUACUGAGCUACUUGCUCCAGGUUAUUCAGCUCAGGUGGCUACUAACUCUACUCAUGGUUACCUAAUUAAAAGGCAUGGAGCGAGUUUUAAACGACCCAAAAGGGGUGAUACUCUCCCAAACACCAAUUUUUCUAUACGGAAUCACCUUAAGGGGCCACCAAGUACCACACUACUUGGAUCAUCGGGUUGGUAACUGACUAUGCGGUUGUCAAAGCCGGUCAAAAAUAAUAUUUUUGGUUAUCAACAAUUUUACAACUGUAGAUAGUGGCAAAAGGAUCGAAUCCACAUGAUCAACAAUUUUACAACUGUAGAUAGUGGCAAAAGGAUCGAAUCCACAUGAAAUUGAUACUUACCUAUUUUCUUAUCAAGACCAAGUAAAUAAACUGAAAGUAAAAUAAAAAGGAGUUUUGAGAUUGAUUGAAUUAAACUAAUAUUGAAAGCAAUAAAGUAAAGCAAAUAAUAAAAUAAAGUAAUUCAAAUAUGAGAAAAGCUCUAGUUGAAGAAUUGGAUCCACUUCAGUUGUUGGGAUUGAUCAUUGACACUUAGGUUCCAUUGUUUGAUUCAAUAAAUUAGUUAUGGAGAUGGAAGACGCUUCUCACCGUCAUAUCCCUCCUUGAGCAUAAAUCAAUUAGGGAACGUUAUCUAAUUGAUCACUAAUCAACAAGUUGCCAAGGAACGGUCUUGGGCCUUUAGCAUCUAAUAACUGUCAAUUGUAUUAAGAAAUAGAGAGACAUAAUUCUAGCUACCAAAACGCAUGGUGAUAUUGCUAGAUCAUGCAAUUUUCUUAGUUUUUACACCAAAAGUUACUUAUGUUUGAACAAUCCAAGCAAUUACGGACUUAAAACUAUCCAAACUAACAAAUUAUUACCAUGCAAUCAAGAAUCAAUUGGCCCUAUUGAUCUAAACUACAAAGCAAUAAUGGAAUUAAGCAUGAAAUUGCAUAAAUAUUGAAAAAACAAAAGAUAAACAAUAUAUGUUCAGAUCUCUCAAUCCAUAAAACAACUAAAGUUUCACCUAAUCUUCAACUAGAAAAAAGAGUUUCAACCACUCAUGGCUGAAACAAAACAAAAAAAUAAAGAAAGAAGAAGAGAGGUGGCCAAAUAGUUUUCAAGGAAGACAACAUUGUGUGCCAAAUGUCCAAGGUGAAGAAGAUGUGAUGGGCGGCACUCCUUAUGCUUUUAUAGUGUGGGAGUGUUGCCCUAGAUGAGGUGGAGCCUUCUUUUAAAUUUUGAAUUUUGAAUAUGCAUUUUCUUGAUAUUUGGCUUCUUGAAUAAGGGAAAGACUUCUUGAAGAUUUGAAAUUUGAAUUUCAAAUUACUCUAUUGAAUGUACUUUCCUUAUUUACCACUUUCCUUAUUUAGCACUUUCCUUAUUUAUCUUCACUUCAGCUGCAACUUGACUUGAGCAACAAUCUUGUUCUUCUUUAUCCCCUUUUAGGCAGUUUUAAGAGUAUUUUCACUAAAUUACCUUUUUACACAAUUUUCUGCAAAAUAAGAUCAAAAUUACAAAAUUAGGCAAAAAAAUGUAAAUUAACAUUAAUAACAUCAUGAUAAAAUGGUCUAAAUUUGGACUGAUCAGUAACUAAAUAAUCAAGCAACUAGAGGGUUGGGUCAUAGGAGUGCAUUUAUUUCUAAUUUUUGCUUUUGCUUUUUUCUUUUUCUCUUUUUUUUUCUUUGAUGACACCCCUUAAUUUUCACAUAAAUACAUAGUCUAGAUAAUGUCCUUUAAAUCAUUCUCAACAAAGGGCAACAACUCAUUUAAAAAACAUGCAUUCAUUAUCAAUUAUUUAAAUAAGGAUCAUACUUUAUGAGCUUUCAAAAUAAGUCUUAAAAAUAAAACUAACAAAAUAAAUGAUGAUAAAUUUAUUCUAUUUAAGCUAGCAUACAAAUGGUAUAAGAACUUGAAUUCUAUGAUAAAAGACAUAUGAUUUCUCAUGGCAAGUAAAGAGCUGUAAAAAAAUUAUUUAUUUAUUAUUUUUAUUUGAAUAAAAUGAUGCUAAUACUGAAAAUCAUAAAAAAUUAAAUAUGAGAAACAAUUUAGUAAGCGCAAGUGCUGAGAAUCAUAAAAACAUAUCAAGUGUUUAUAGGUUUGGGCAAGCCUCUAGCUCAAACAGCAAAAUUGCAGAGAAGAAAAAAUUUUCAAAAAAUUUUUCAAAACAUAGAAAAUAUAUAUGUUCUUCUCAUCAAUCACAAAAACACUUCUGUUUUCAUACCAUAUCUUCCCCCACACUUAUUCUUCACAUUGUCCUAAAUUUAGAAAACAUUCAAUCAAACGGGAGAAGUUCACAAAAUAAAAUAAAACUAAGUCAAAGAGAACUUCUGAAAUAGCCCAGCCCAAAUUGACCCAAAUAACUUUUGAACCCACUUUCCACUUGGUCCAAAAUGUUUAAUCCAAGUUAUUUAGUAGAUUUGUGCUAGCUAUUAUAUACAAUUUAAAAUUUUCAUAAUCUGCCGAUGUGGGACAGAAGCCGCAGCGGAAGCAGCUGAUUAAUUGGGUGGUCAUUGACUUUGUGAUAACCCACAUCUUCUCUAGAUAUGGUUUACCCAAAGCCAUAAUUAGUGAUCGAGGGACUCAUUUCUGCAAUAAGAUAGUGGAAACCCUUCUUAAAAAGCACCAUGUUAUUCAUAGAACAUCAACUGCCUACCACCAUCAAACAAAUGGGCUGGCCAAAGUAUCAAAUAGAGAAAUCAAGACCAUCCUAGAGAAGAUAGUUUGCACAAAUUACAAAUACUGGAGUGUGCGUGUAACAGCCCGAAAACCGGUACCCCUCUGUAACGGCCCGAACCAUCACUGGCACUAGGAUUCAGAUCGGCUUAAGGCCGCCGGGACCCGUAGCAAGCCGACUAUACUCUCUGUGUACCUGAUAAAUCCCAUACAUGAUUCAACAUAAACAACAAUCCUGUAAACUCUCCUCAGAGUUACCAAGAUCGACCUGCAUGCACUAUGUCUGAAAACAUAGAACCCACUCACAUAGGGUCAGCAUGUCACAAGUCCGCCUUGGUUCCACUCAUUUCUCAUCAAGAAACGUAAAACAAGAUCCAUGUAUAAAGGGAUGAAUCAUACAUCGCACUAAAGCAAAGACACUAGGGUAAAGCACAAUUCUAUCCAUUAUUUGAUAGUACAGUUCUAUACAUUACAUUACACACUAAUCUUUUAAUUACAUCAUGUCCACUAUUCUAUUACAAACAUACAUUCAGGCAUAUCUUUCCUCUUUACUCUUGCUGACUCUGACUUCCCAUAGCUAUCUCAGAACCUGCAAAACUGGGGUUAAGGGAGUGGGAUGAGCUACUACAGCCCAGUGAGGAGGAACAAUAAAACAGUUCAUUAAUUACAUGCUUUCAUAAAAUGCUUCACAUUACAAACAUAUCAUCUCACGGAUGAACUUGUCACCACUAGCCCUCUACUAUAUACAUAUAAUAAUAUGUCCAACUGUGCCAGGGAGACUAGGUCGUCACCUGGACUUCUCUUCACUGACUGACUCUUACUUGACUUUCUCACAGUACCAGGAGCGACCUGGUAUGGCUAUCUCAUGCCAUAUCUCAUCUGAUCUCAUAGUAUCUCUGCUUAUAUCAAAGGCUAAGGAUCAUCCAACAUUCAUCCACACGAAUAACAUCUUAUGCAAUGCAUCAUAUUCGUGGAUUCUAAUACAACACAACCUAAUACAUAACAUGGCAUUUUAUGAUGCAUGGAUCAUGCUAGAAGCGUGUCAUUUCUCAAUUUUAAACAUCAAGUUUAGUUCCACUCACCUGUAGCCAAUGCUUGGCUAACUCUGGGCCACCUCUAACUCUGAUGCAACUACUACUGCUAAACACCUCGGUUCCUCGGGUCCAAUCCUAUAAUGGAGGACUCAAAUGAGGUACCAAACAUACUCUAUACAACUGAUAAACAAUUCUCCAAAAACCCCCUAAAACAUCCUAGAACAAUCAUGGGAAACAUGCAAAGGAAGGCUGAACAGAGCAUCUUCGGCGGCCGAAUGCUCCCUCCAGAGCCGAACCUCAUGCAUGUUCGGCGGCACCUUCGGCGGCCGAACCUCUCCUCCAGAGCUGAAAGUCCAAACUUUCGGGGAUAAGCUCAAGCAAGCUUAGGCAACCGAAGCCACCUCCUCAGCACGUUCGGCGGCCGAACCUUCCUUCGGCUGUCGAACCUGAGUUCAUCCAGAACUCAGCUUCGUGCAGAACUCACCCUCUCAACCAUCCACACACCCACACAUGCACAGCUCAAUUCCUCAACAUACAUAUACUUUAGUAUAUGCACCAAGGGGUCCAAACACUACCUUAAAACCCCAACAAACACUACAAAACAACACAUAUACAUACUCUCACCAAGAAAACACCAAAAAAAUCCUAAACAUGCAUAGCUACCCAUAAACUCUCUUUUCCCUUCAUAAAACUCAUGUAAAAACAUCAUAAAAACUACGGAUCGACCCUUACCUCUUACAGAACAAAGGCUGGUGUGAUCCAAACGUAAAGCUAGGGAGGAUCUAAGCUCCAAACUCUCCAAAACCUUGCUCAAAGUACAAAUGGAACAAUUGGUACUCACUCUCACCAGACUAUUCCCUUAAAGUGGGAGGUCAAGGGUUCGAGUAGUGGGGGAGGCGACCUAAUUUUCAAAGGGAAAUUUGGGCCAAAUCCACUUGGGGAAGGAUGCAUUCGAUGCGAGAACCCAAGGGGACAAAUCCUGCCAGGAACCCGUGAGGGUGAAUGGAUGUUAAGAGCUGUUCACGACGCCAGUGGAAAGCCCGAGGUGGCGAGAGGGCCAGGCGAGGGAUAGCCCUGGGCCGUGAACGGUAACAGUGCCGGGGUUCACGUCUGGGCUGUUACAUACGGCUGACCGCCUCAGCUUCGGCGGCCAAACCUGCAUGCAAAACCAUGCAAUGUUCGGCGACCGAACUUGGAGUUUCGGGGGCCAAACCUAAGGCACUUUCGGCGGCCGAACAUUACUUUCGGCGGCCGAACAUUACUUUCGACGGCCGAACCCGCACUUUGUUCCCUUGGUCUUUUCUCUUCAAAACUCAAGUCCUUCUCGUCAAAACCUUAAAACACAUAAAAAGAUUUUAGAAAACCUUUCUCUUACCCUUCUAGAAACUUCCGACAUCCUCAAAUGCCAGAUUCCAACGGAAAUUCCGCCGAAAAAUAGGAAUUUCGAUGCCGGCGUCUAGCCAGGUAUUACAGUGCGCCUCAAUAAUGCCUUGUGGGCAUAUAGAACAGCCUAUAAAACGCCCAUAAGAAUGUCCCCAUAUCGGCUGAUCUAUGGAAAAACUUGCCAUCUGCCCGUAGAACUUGAACACAAAGCCUAUUGGGCUGUUAAAAGCUGUAAUCUUGAUGAGAAAGAAGCCGGAUCCCAUAGAAAAUUACAACUUCCAGAACUAGAGGAAAUUCGGCGUGAUGCAUAUGAAGCCUCAUGGUAUUAUAAAGCCAAGACCAAAGCCUUCUAUAAUAAACAUAUCUCUAGAAAACAAUUUCAGAUUGGUGAUAAGGUCUUGCUUUUUGACUCACGAUUUAAAUUGUUUCCAGAAAAGUUACAAUCUAGAUGGAUUGGGACAUUUUUGGUAGAACAUGUCUUUCUCCAUGGAGCUGUGGACAUACGCAGUCCAAAAACAGGCAAGAUUUUCAAGGUUAAUGGGCAGCCCAUCUGAAACCAUUUUAUGAAGGAUUUGUUGUGCACCUUGUGGAAGAGGUUCUCUUGGACCCCCCCUUCCCCAUCUUGUUGAUCAAGGCAAGAUAGUCCAACCCACGAUAAAAAAUCAGGGCGCUACUAGAGGCAGCCUAGCUGAAGCAAUUUGCCCAAAUCACUAGGCAGUUCGACUGAUUGUACCAUAGUCGCAAGCAAUUGGGGCAAGUGAUUUGCCCAAAUUGAUGGCCAAAUUGACAAAAUUGGACCAUCACAAAAAAGUCGCGACAAGGGCCAAUCAAGUAAUUUCAACAAGAAUAUGAUUUGGCCAAGUGAUUUGCCUAAAUCUCUAACCAAAUCACCCUGCCAAGAAGUCAGAGACUCAGCAAUUAAUGAUCAGGGAAGUUCAACUUUCCCAAAUCACUUUAAAUAGUUUUUUUCCCUUUUCCUCAUGCUAUUUCUGUCUGCUUAAUCUCUUCCUUCUUCCCCAAGCUUUCCUCAGCGACGACGACUUCUACCAUGGUCAAAACCAAGAUGGUAGCCACCAUCGGCCCCGGCAUGUGGCAGAAACUAGGUCUGCCUAGACCCAUACACAUCCCCACUGACAGUGACGAGGAGGCCAUCAACAACCUUCCCCCCAUCGCCGAAGACACCGACACAGAGUCAACCGAGGAAAUGGCGACUAUGGCGACUAGGGCUACUACGAUACCCGUCGUCCACACCUAUCGCCGACGAACUAAGGCGUCGAUGAUAACUCCACCGACCAAGACACAGACGGUCGAGGCAGACACCCCUGGAGACGCGACGCUUCCAGAAGAGACCCCCUCCACUAACCACGAACAGAAACAACUGAUGACACCUUUUUCCUCACCACCACCGAGCCCGAAGCGCCGGACAGAAGCCACCACCGGCAUAUCAGACACAACUCCAGUGGGCCACGACCAAGGCGAUUUGCCCAAUGACUUACCCAAACCAACAAACCCCAACCAUGCAACGAAGGCCUUGACCUUCAAUAAGCAGUCUGAACGCUCCAGGUUUGACAAGGUCUCCUCUCUACCCUAUCACCCAAGUAAGUUCCUUCACCAUGACACCCUUCAGGCAUUAGGGAUUCAGGAAUAGGUGAGAUCCCUUAUUGAUAACAUUGGGUGGGGUACAUUCUUUUACCUGCAUAUGCCUGCCUUCAUAGAACUCACCCAUGAGUUCUUCUGCACGUUCUAUUUUGAUAGGGUAGCCCUGACCACCCUUCACAAACCAGACAUUGUGAGUUUUAGAUUGCUAGGAUAGCGAUUCCGCUUGUCCCUACACGAGUUCAGUGCUGCACUGGGAUGUGAAUAUCUUGACUCCAUCUGGAAUUUCCUUGUAGGGUUCAAUCUCAGCACUGCCUACACAAAACUGUGUGACAACCCACCUGACACUUAUUCACCCACCAAAUCAAAGGACCUAUACCUAAGAAACCCUUGCUUAAAGUACCUACACAAGUUCUUAGCCUACACCUUUUAUGGGAGGAAGGAUGCACCAAACAUCCUGACCAAAACUGAGUUGUACAUCCUAUGGAGCUUGUCCACAAAACAAAAAUUUCAUUUGGAAUACCGAGUUGCCACACAGCUCUCAGGCACAAUCACUUACCACUGCCCCUUGAUCCUUGGGCACUUGAUCACUUCCAUUGCAGUUAAUUUAAAAUUAUUGCAUCCUACUUAUAUUGAUCUCACCCCCAUCGGCGAACCAACCCCCUGGACCUACGCACUUUGGAUGAUAUAGGGUUGCUUUGCAAGGUGGGGGGAGUUUUCUCUCUUGCUCCUGCAGGGCCUGUAAUACCACGCAAUGAGCAUGUGUUUAGGAAGAAGGCAGCUAACCAGGAAGCAGCUUCUCAGCCGCCUGCCCUACCAAUAGCACCACAAUAGGCCGCAGACGAGGCACCUGCCGAAGCACCUCAAGACCAUUCAGUGGAGGCUCGUCUGACCAGAAUUGAAGACAAAAUGCAACAUAUGGAAGGCCAGCUGCAACUGCUGGCAGACAACUUCCUGCCCAGAAACCAUCUGCACCAGUGAUUUGGCCACAGAUUUGGGCACGGAUUUGGCCAAAUUACACACUUGGCCAGGAUGUCCCUUCCUCUCUUUCUCUCUUUAUAUGUUUUGCAUUGAGGGUAAUGCUUAGGCUAGGUGUGGGGGUACUGGGGGAAUAUUUUUGCACUAUCUUUUUACUAUCUUUUUGCCCCUUUUUACUAUCCUUUUAACCUGAUACACGAAAUUUUUUUUUAGUUUUCACUUAUUCACACAUAGUUACACACACAUUCCUUUCUGCACAUAUGCACUUACACACAAAUUUUUAUUUUUGCUUUACUCAGCAUAGAUAACAAAGUUAAUAAAGCCUCUUACCUCAUGACCCCAUUAAUUUUCCAACCCUUUAAAACUGAAUUGAAUCAUUUGCAGUGGGUUACCUUCACUUAGGAAGUUUUUCUCUUGAAUUGAAUCUUUAAACUUACUGAGGUCAAGAAAAAUAAAAAUCUAAAAAUGCAUGUAAUGGAAAUGAGCUAGUGCAACACUUUGUGAGUUGAUUUGCCCAAACUGUUAUGAAAAGAAAAAGUAAAACUCAGCAAAGUCAAAAAGCAUAAAACAUAACCUGUUCCAAUGGUCAAGGACUAUGAACAGAGCUAGUAGCCACUUGAACAAGUGACUAACUGAGUAACCGAGAGUGGGUAUCACCAAUAUACACCUUCGCGUAAAAAGGAUGGUGAUUUUUUUAGGCAAUAAUAAAAAGUGUUGCUGAAUAAAAAUGCUUUAAAAGAGGGCAAGUCACUCUUAGGAUUGCAUAAAGCCUAAACUAAAAACUAAAGAAUGAGCAUGAUCAAAUUAAGAAUUUUCUCUUGGGCACGGUAGGUGAAGGGAAACAAGGAAAAAAAAGACAAUCUUAGUGCAUGUACUCUACACUGCAGUGCUUCAAUUUGGGAGUCUAGAGGAGGCUGAUUAAGUGGUAUUUAGGCUCAAAAGAAGGGGGCUUAAUUAACUAAGUUAUUUAUUGCUUGAGAAUAAGCAAAAAGUUAGGUGUGGGCAAAUCAAGCCCUAAAGAAUGACUGAAGCAGCUGCUGGAGGAGGAAGCUAAACACUCAAGACUUGAUAUGCUCAAAACGAUUUGCCCAAAUUGCUGGCCAAAUCACCUGAAGAAAACUGAAGCAGAAACCCAGAAGUGACUCGCAGAAAUGAUUUGGGCAAGUGAUUUGCCCAAAUCACUGCCCAAAUCAACUGACCCCAGCAAGAAAAUACAACAAGUGCGAAAAAGCGAAAAUUCAAAGAUUCAAACGUCUUAGAAUCCUAUCCUACUUCAAAUACACCAAAACCAAUCCUAUGACAACUCUAGGAACCACGCCAAAGAAAGUCCUUCACCAAAAGAGUUUUAUUCAUGUUAAAAUACAAAGACAAAUGAGGAAUCAAAAACCAAUUCAAAAUAGGAUUUCAACUCUAAGAAGGAUUAGGACUCCUCACUUAUAAAAGAGGGCAGCAACCAACAGAAGGGGAUCCACUUUUCGACAGCAACACCAACAAUGCCUCUCUCCUUUUUCUUUUUUCUUUUAUGUGUUCUUUAUCCACCAUGAGUGGCUAAACAUCUCUUUCUCUAAUUGAAGUUGGAGAAAUUUCAGUUUGUUAUGAAUUGGAAGAUCUAAAACUCUGUUGUUAAACUUCUAUUUUUUAAUAUUUAUGCAACUUGUUCGUCAUGUUUAUUAUUGCCUUUCUAUUAAAAUCAAUUAAGGCAUGUUGCAUUUAAUUGUAUAGGUAAUAUAUUGUUAAUUUAAAUAAUUUAGGUCCGUAAUUGCUUAGAUUAUUUGAACACAAGUAACAAUUGAUUGCAUGAUUUAACUUAACCACGCUGUUGGCAAUGUUAGAAUUAGAUUUCUCUAUCUCUUAAUGUAGUUAACAGUUGAAAAGUGAAGAACUCCAAUGAUGUUCCUUAGCAACUUGUUAACUAGAGUUUAAUUAGCGAACGUUUUCUAAUCAAAUUAAAACUGAGGAAUUUGGUUAUGAGAAGCGUAUUCCACAAUCUAAACUAAUUUAUUGAAACAAAUUGAAGAAUCAAAACAUUAAUGAUUAAUUCUAAACUGAAAUGAAUUCUAUAUUUCAAUUAGAGUUCUUCUACUAUUGAUUUAUUCAUCUUUUGUUUAUUAUUUUCUUUUAUUACUUUAAUUAUAGUUUAUUAUCAUAAAAAAUAAAUCCUCUUUUUAUUUUGCUUUUAUUAUUAAUUUGUCUAAGUGAUUGUUAGGAGAGUUGUUAAUAUCAAAUUCAUGUGAUUCAACCCUAUUGCCAAUAUCUACAAGUUCUUUUUAUUAAUUAUUAAUAAAUUUAUUUUUUAUAGUUUUAACCACCGCUAUCAAUUUCACACAUGCGUUUUAAAUGGAAAUCUAUGCACCUUUCUCUUCAGUUUCAUUAAAAAAAAAUUGAGACACAACUUAUAGGAUUUUAAUAUAUCAAUUCUUCAUCCCCUUAUAAAAAAAAUUAAAUAAUUUACUUUGAAAACAUAAAUGCAAAUUUGAUUAUUUUUUGGACAUUUAAUAAAAAUUAAUAAAACUAAUAUAUUAUUUUCUGCGCCAUUUAUUUUCUAUGCAUAUUUUUUCUAAAAUUUAUAAUUAUUUGAAUAAUUAAUAUGUUUUAGAUGAAUUUAUAAUUAAAAUUUUGUCUAUAUUAGAUUAAGUCAAUUAAAUUAGUGUUAAUACCAUAAUAAAAAGGUAAAUUUAGUUUUAGUUAUUUUUAUUAGGAAUUUAAUUUAAUUAUUAAUUUUUAUGUUUAUAUAGUUAUAAAUAAAUAUCAACUAUAGUACCAAUAAUUAUAAAUAAUGUGAUUGAAUUGAGUUUAGCUAAGAAAAUCUAAACAAGACUAGUAUCCCACAAACUACGGAUUAAUAUUGAUGUAACAAGGAAAAGUGGGGAAUAUUGAUGUUGUAAGGGCGGGUCAAAUGUAACAAAGGAAAAGUUGGGAAUAUUGAUGUUGUAAGGGCGGGUUUGCUUGUAACCAACAAUGGUGACGUAUGUAUUGGGUCGCAGGAGUCAGAUUUGAUUUUAGAGCAAUCUCUUUCUUUGUUUUUUUAUCUAUGUCAUCUCACCAUCUAUCUAUUGGUUUAGCCUUUUCUUUCUAGAUUUAUUGUGUUUGCUUUUAAUUUUAUUUUUUUAUUUUAUUUUCAUAUCAAAACUUACAUAUUUAAAAGAUUUUAUUGAUCAAUUAAUAGUGUGGUUUUGGUAAUGAUAAUGAUCGGCAAAUGUACUAUUAUAGUUAUGUACCACGCUUUUAUAUAUUUAAUUUUCUUGAAAUUAUAAGAGAUUGAGAUGCUAGUAAAAUUUCCCACCGCCACCUGGUAUUUCCCUUCCAUAUGUGUUAAGAGGUUUAACCUCUCUGUGGAUUCUCUUUGAAUGCUCUAGAAAUGUUGGUCUUCUAUCAAGAUUCAAGAAUCCUGCUAGAUGAAAUGGUAGCAGGAUGACAGAUUGACCGAUAGUGGUGCGGUGGUUCUACCGCUUCUGAAAAGUUGUAGAUAUGUUUGGAUUGUUCCACACUUUGUAUAUUUUAGUCUUGAGGUCUUUGAGUAAUGCAUUCUAGUGCAUUAGGUGAAAAAAAUGUUUAAUGUUUUAAUCAUUUAAAAUAUAAAAAAUAUUUGUCUAAAUCUAAUUUACUAUUAUCAAAUUAAUUGUAAGAUAUAAAUGAGUGCAUUCUCAUACAAAAAUAAAAUCUAUAUUUUUAUAUAUUAAAAUUAAUUUAGUCUAUUAUAAAUUAGAUAUAUGAAAUGAUUAAAAAGUAUUAAAAAUUAAAAAAAAGUUAGUAUUUCCGAAUCUAGAUGAACCGACUUCUUGGAAAUUACAUUCUAUAUAUGUUUAACCCCAGCAGCAAGAGAAAAGAGAACUCGAUAGAGAAAGAUAAAGAGAGAAACAAGAGAGAUGAAGAAGCAGUGGCAUACGUUGUUGAGAGGAGGGGAAGGAAAGAGAGAACACAAACAUCGUUUGUUUUCGGCAGAAAUGAAGACACUGGCCAGCAUAUGUGAGACUGUGUUGCCUCCAAUUUCUAUUCAGGAAAAUGAAACCCCACCAAGCAAGCCUGUGCAGGACUUCUUUGCAGCUUCUGGAUUUCAGGCCCCUUUGCCUGACGAGGUUAAAACUAAACCUUGUUGAUUUACGUCAGUUCAUUAUGUUGUUUUAUGUUAGUUCGUUAUGUUAAUAGUUUCUCAAACCAUAGAAAUCCUUUUUGUUAUUUUGUUCGGCAAAUAGAUUGCAGAGCUGAUAAGUCAGAGGGGUUUAAUAGAAAUACUGAUAGCAAUGAGACUGGUAUUGUUGAUGCUUUCAACAAAAAUUGGGACAGUUUUGCUUUGUGGAACGCUUUGUUUAAGGAAGAAUUGGCCUUACAUCAACACUUUCUCAGGCAUGUCCUUGACUGACAGAGAAAAAGUAUUGCAGAAAUGGUUCAGACACUGGUUUUUCACACCCAUCAGACUUACCUUCAUCCUCCUCAAGGUGGCCUGCCUUUAUGUCUUCUUCAGUCGGGUAAUCAUUUACUUAUUCCUUACAUAUAUCACUAUUUUAAUUUUUUUUUUAUUAUAGAUAUUGCUUUAAAAAAAGAUACUUCUUAAUUAAGUUUUGGUGGUAUUUUAAACAUACUUUUAUUUUGUAAUUUAUGAUAAGUUUAUUGGCUAAGUAGUUGCCAAAGGUUAUGUCAUAAUAUGAUUGGUACAAAAUAAAGAAAAUUUGAAGCAAUUUUUCCUAAUUGGGUAAUUAGAAGGAAAUAGAAAUUGAAGAAGGUUAAAACAUCAUUAUCAAAGAGGAAAAUGAGAACCAAGUAUUCUUUUCCUUUUCUUUUUUGGCUUGUACCACUUUUUAUUUAAUUUUUUUUCAACCUUUUCUCUUUAAUAAAAGAUUAACCGUUGUUUUCUUUUUAAGUACGUUGUGCUAUUUAUUUGAUAAAAAUAAAAUUAUCUAUCUUUUUGCCAUUUUCCACAAAGUUCUUUGGAUUUAAAAAUAAAAUUUCUACCUAAACUUUUCAAAUAUUUAGGGCUUAAUUUCAAUGAUAUAGAUAAAUGGAAAGAUGGUAGUUCAUUUUUUUAUAAAUAUAUAACAAUUUUCAUUUUUUUUAUUAAAAAAAAGUAAUUAUAAGUUAAAAAAGGACUAAUAUCAUUAUCAUUAGCCUUAUAGUAGUUAAAGACAAAAAUAAUUAAUUUUGCAUACACAAAAGAGAAUAUAUAAUAAUUGAUAAAAACAUAUUCAUUCAUUAAAAAAAUGAAAGUAAUUAUUUUUUUAUUAAUUAAGAAAAUAUAGUUAAUAUAAUUAAAAACAAUAAAUUUUAUAUUAUAUUUUCUAAUAUACCAUUCACUCCGAUUAUUCUAUUAUUAAUUUAUUUUUAAAAUUAAUAAAUUUUAUUAUGAAUGUAUUUAUAAGUUAAUCAAUAAAUUAUUAUAUUAAAAAGGAAAUAUAUUAUAACUACUUAGCCAUUGGUCACAUAGAUAAGUGAUUUACAAAUUGCAAUAACUUAUAUAUUUAAAAAUAAAUAUGUAAAUACAAAUCUAUAGGAAUUAGGCAUUCUUUCUAAUUUAUAAAUUUAAAUAAUUGAAAAGAAAUAAAAGUGAAAUUAAAAAAGAAUUUUUUUUUAGUGAUAAUAUAAAAAAUUUAAAAAGAUAAAAGCAUACAAAAGGCGUUGCUAGUCUAAAAUUACUUAUUUAAUGUUAUAAUAUUGGUAAAGUCAUUUAAAGUGUUUUUUUUUUUUUUUUGCAAAAAUAAAAAUAAAUCUUACAAUUAAAUAGUUAAAUAAACUAAAUUCAAAGGUAGAAAAAUUAAAUAAUUAUAUAAAUUAUGUUUAAGUGGAUGAAAAUUUAAUAAAAAAAUUUUCUAAUAAAAUAAUUAAAUGAGAAUAAAGAAAGCUUGACGGAGUUAAGUGGGAAUAGAUAAAAUAUUUUAAAAUAAAUAUAAAAAUAAUAAUUAUUAAAUUUCAUGAUUUCCUAUAACUAUUAUAAUAACUUAAAUUUUCUUUAAAAAGUAAGUUAAAAAUAUUUUAAAAAUUCAUACAUGGUCCCACUUUAUAACAAGCGGUGGAUCAUAUAGAACAAACACUAAAAGCAAGGUUAAUGUAAAUAGCAAGGAAAUGAAAGAGAGGGUAAAACGGUCUUUUCAUUCUUCCUAUGAACACUACUCUCUUAGUAAUAUAUAAUAAUUAAGAAAAAAAUAAAAUAAUAAGAAAAAGAAUAAAUAUUUUUUUUUCUCAAAGAUACAUUGAUUCAUUGAAAAGGUCCGAUAGAAACCUGAAAAUAUCGCAAUAAGUCCAAAGCAAUAUAUAAACAUUACAAAGAGGAUUUUUAGGGCACAAGAAAUAAAAUUUAAAUUAAUGCUUAGCCCUAAAAACUCAAGAUCUGAUAAUCCGUGUAAAACUCAGAACAGCCAUAUAUAUUAGCUAAAUUAUAAAUUAUUAAAUAAUUUAAAUUAAUAUUAUAUAUAUAAAAUAGAUAAAAUUUUAAUUAUUUAUGUUGAAUUAUUUCAUCUAAUUAUUAUUAUGUAUUCAAUAAAUUUCAAUUAUCAAUGAUGAAAUUUACAUAAAAUUCACUACAAUUAAUUGGUAAAAUUUACAUAAACGCGUUACACUCAUAAUUUUAAGCAAUAAUUUCAAUACUACUAAGCCAAAAGUUUCUUUCUUUCUUUCUUCUUCUUCUUCUUCUUUUUUUUUUUUUUUUGUAGGCGAACGAAGAUGGCGAGAAUCCAGCAUGGGAAGCCAUUGACUAUAGGAUAGAAGAAGAUAUGAGUCCAAAUGAAGGUCCAAAGGAGAGGCCUCUCGAGGAAGGAAUAAUAGAAACUAUGCGUGAAAAUGAUUCAACUCUUCUCCACAACCUUGCCCAAAAAGGCCUCAGAGUUACGAAAUAUCCAAGAAACAACCUGUGCAAAAUCAAUUGUGAUGUUGCCAUUGUUGGCUCUGGCUGUGGCGGGGGUGUUGCUGCCGCUAUGCUUGCAACUUCCGGCCAGAAGGUGGUUGUUCUUGAGAAAGGAAACUAUUUCACUGCUAAGGAUUAUUCUGGUCUGGAAGGCCCUUCCCACAAACAGCUAUAUGAAUCAGGGGGGAUCCUUCCAACUGCUGAUGGGAAAGUGAUGAUUUUGGCAGGAUCAGUAGUUGGAGGAGGCUCUGCCAUUAACUGGUCUGCAUGUCUCAACACACCAAAGCCUGUGCUUAAGGACUGGGCUGAGAAUCAUAAACUUAAGCUUUUUGGAAGCUCUGAGUAUCUUGCUGCCAUGGAUGCUGUCUGUGAGAGAAUUGGAGUUACGGUGAACUGUAAAGAGGAGGGAUUUCAAAAUCAAGUACUUAGAAAAGGGUGUCAGAAACUUGGACUUGAAGUCAAUCCAGUACCUCGAAAUUCCUCGGAGACGCAUUACUGUGGAAGCUGUGGUUACGGUUGUAAACAAGGAGACAAGAAGGGGAUCGAUUCUACAUGGCUGGUUGAUGCUGUUAAACAUGGUGCAGUAAUCAUAACAGGUUGCAAGGCGGAGAGAUUCAUUUUGGAAAAAAACAAGAGUGGAAGUAAAAAGAAAAAGAAAUGCUUGGGAGUGAUGGCAAAAUCAUUGAGCAAUGACAUUCAGAUGAAGUUGCAAAUUGAGGCAAAAGUAACAAUCUCAGCAUGCGGAGCUCUUCUUACGCCUCCUUUAUUGAUCACUAGUGGACUGAAGAAUCCAAACAUCGGUCGAAACCUUCAUCUUCACCCCGUUUUAAUGACCUGGGGUUACUUUCCCGAAUCAAAUGCAGAGUUCAAGGGGAAAUCAUAUGAGGGAGGAAUAAUUACAUCAGUUCAUAAUGUGCUCUCAGAAGACUCUACUGUCAGGGCCAUCAUAGAAAAUCCUCAACUAGGGCCAGCAUCUUUUGCUUCAUUGGCUCCUUGGGAGUCUGGACUUGACAUAAAGACCAGAAUGGUUAGAUACUCAAGAACUGCUCACAUGAUUACAAUAAUCAGGGAUCGGGGGUCUGGUCAAGUUAAGGCGGAAGGAAGGAUAAGUUAUAAUUUAGAUGCAUUAGACAAAGAAAACCUCAAGGCUGGGCUACGACAAUCACUGAGGAUUUUAGUAGCUGCAGGGGCUGUCGAAGUCGGUACACACCGAAGUGAUGGCCAGAGAAUCAAAUGUGAAGGGAUUGGUGAAGAAGAGCUGGAAGAAUUUUUAGACACAGUUUAUGCAGCUGGAGGGCCAUUAACACCAGUACAGGACUGGAUGGUCUAUACUUCAGCCCAUCAAAUGGGGAGCUGCAGGUUGGGGAUUAGUGAAACAGAAGGUGCAGUUGAUGAGAACGGGGAGACUUGGGAAGCAGAAGGCUUAUAUGUUUGUGAUGCAAGUGUUCUUCCGAGUGCCAUCGGAGUGAACCCCAUGAUCACUGUCGAGUCCACAGCUUUCUGUCUCUCAAAGAGAUUAGCCGAGUCUGUUAAGGAGAGAACAGUCUAGCAUUUAGUGAAUCCUCAAACUUUGCACUUAUAUGGUAAUGUUUUCUCCGUUCUAGGCUUUGUGUUUAUAUAGGAUGUCCAAUUCUGAUGUUACCUUUCAGAUGCCUGUGUGUGUGUGUUUGUUUUUUGUUUUUUUUCCCUUCCUUGUCAUGUAAGUUGAAUAAAAAAAUACUCAGUUUGUGAAGGCUUGUGCACUUUUCUUUGAACAUAAGAAUAAGUGAUAAGUAGAAAACGCAAACCAAAAUAUUUUUUGGACUUGAUGUUAGUUAGUGUAUAAUUAGAGCUGCUGGUUGAGGGAUGCUGAGACAUGCAUGCUAUUGACAGAUAAAACUAAAUAAUACUGAUAGAUCAAAAUUCUACUGCUAAAAUUUUCAACUAUUUUUACAUCUGACAUUUGAUCUUCUAUCAAAUUCUUCCAGUUCAUCUAUUCAAGGGAUAAAGGAAAUAAUUGAAUUGAAAUUAGAGUUUCCAAAUUUACAAAACUCAACAUGUUAUUUGAUGCUUUCUUUCUUCAAUAAACUUGGGGGCUGUACAAUUUGAACUUGAUUGAAUCUCUGAAGAAUGAGAAGGAUAAUCACACUAUUUUUUCCUUAUUUGUUGUGGAUCCCAGUCUAAUUAUAGCAGCAAAGUACUGAAAGCGCCUUAAUGUCAGCAUGCUAGGGAGUUUACACAAGAUGAAACUGUCAGGGACUUGUAUUAAAUUUUGUUGAAUAUAAUCCAGCCUUUAGCCAUCUGAAUCUGUCUCUCGGAAAGGUAAGGGAACUGUCUUCACUGCCCUGAACUUGCCAACGUUGUUCAGAUGCUCGUUCUCCAACCUGUUAAAUAAACAAACAAUUAGGUUGAUUCUUUUUUUUCUUUUUACCAUUCUACGAUUCCCAGGGCUAAUAUAUAACCAGGUAUUAACCUGUAGAAGUUCCAAUGGCCUCGCCGAAUAACCUCUAAAGAAGCCAAGAAAAAGUCCAACAUCCUUGACUCAACAAUAUUGAAACGGAACUGCAUCAUAGUCUCCACCCAAACAACUCUCAGAACUAUGUUCAAGGCCUACAAUCCAAUUUUGCACUAUGUUAAGAACUUUAAUGAUUGAAAAAGAUCAAACAGGAUCUACUUGAAAGCAAACUCACAAUGGAAAUGUAGUAGAUGCUCUUGUUCUUUAGAAUCAAGUCGUCUCUUAGCCAUGGGUUCUUGGAUUUUGGGUUGAGAAGGCCCCAAUCCUUGACAAAAUCCCAGUACAACUGAUAAACUGUAGCAACUGCAGAAGAGACCAACACUAUACAAAACCAUAAGUAAUUCUCCUGCCUAGAAUAAGUUAGCCUCGCGCCGGCCGCCACCAUGGCAGAAACAUACUUCCCCAUGUUUUUUAAAUGGUUCACAUCACUUUCAUCAAACCAUCGUCUUGCACACUUCCAUGCAAAACAAAAUUAUUUAGCUGACUAAAAAUUUUGUGUAAGAAAAUUUCCAAUUUCUGUCAAGCGGUUUUACCUGCAUUGCUCGCCAAUAGUAUGGCAGAAACGAAAUGACAUAAGCUAGCUCCAUAUAUAGCCUUCCACUGUUGCAGGUUGCGUAUCUAUGUGUUCGAAAAGUCCCAGCUAGGAGGUAGCAUGCCAUGGAUUCCAAAUGCCUCAUUAGUGGAAUCUGGAAAUGGGAAGUUUACACAAUAAAUGCAAAUGAGGGAAACAGAUCAUCGAUUGAAAGUAUUAAGCAAUUGCAGUAAUUGUAUGAGGAGAAAUCACCUGGCUGGUAAGUUGGUCUGCCAUGAAAAAGUCCACCAUCAGAACCUGCAGGAGUCAUGUAUGUUUCAAAGGUAUUAGAUUUUAUAUAUGUUGAAUGCUGAACAAGAAACAAAAAUUAGGAAGUGAAUGUACUUUAUAAAGUGGAGAGCAGAUAAUGUUGCGAAUAACACGAAUGAAGCAGUAACGCGUUGGGCGAUAGAAGAAAUCAAAUGGGCAGAUGAGCAAGGCCAUGAAAAUCUGAUAAUGCAAUUGGAAAUUAAUUAGCAAAAAUAUUAAAAAUUGAAUUGGAGUUUGUCAUUGAGAAGAAUCAAACAGGGAAAACUUACUAGGAAGAGGACUCCAGGAAUGGCAUCAACAUGGCUUGGCGAAAAGCCACUAGCCCUUAAUAGAAGAUGGAUUAUCAAAGCAGCAACAACAGAGGUCAUUAAAGUGGUACUAAUGAGGAAGGCGUCUCUGUACUUGAGAGCAGUGCUGGGUUGAAAUUCAAAAAUGAAAUUGUAGUUGAUCCUUGUACUCUUCCACAUGAAAAGGUUGCAGCCAUACAUGAACAAAUGCAAGCUUAACAAGGCAAACACACUGCAGGAAAUCAAACCAACCCUUUAGUGCAUCAUUUGCAUGUAAAGAUAAAGCCAUUUAGAAGUUGAAUAUUAUAGACAAUAGAAAAUAAGCGAAGAGUAAAUAAACACCUGAAAACAGGGUAGAUAGUCUCCACAUAUGAUCUUCUAACGUUGGGGCUAAAAAUGCCAGCCAUGUAUGCCAAGAAUGCAUAUACACUAAAGAGAGAGAGGAAACAACCAGUAGAUAAGCCUGCAAAAUGAGCAGACUAUUCCUGAAUAUCAGAAGUUUCUGCUGAAAUUUCAUGUCACGGGGCCAAUCACAAUGAGGUAAUAUUACCUAUAAGAAAGGUGACCAUGUGAGACUCCUUGCGCUGCUGGGGUCUGAGGAACUUCAUUGCCUUUUUCCUGUCAUUGUUGGAGAAGUGCUUUGUGAAUAGGGACUCCACUUCAUCCAUUAGUCUAACAACCUUCCAACCAAAUGCAAAACGUUUUUAACCACUGAAAAUUAAAAUCGUGGUCUGUGAAUUUGCCAGAGAGUUUUGAUUUGGUGAAAGGAUAAGAACCAAAAGCCAUGGCCUUUUAAAUUGGUAUUAAUUAUGGGGAGAUGAAGUCUUACCUUAUCAGAGCUAAUGAAGUGGGAUCUCUUCACUGCUUUUAGAUAACUUGCUGAUGUCUGCUGGUUUGAUACCUGCUUAUUUUCACACACACAAAAAAAAUAUCAAUUAUAAAUUCUCUCUUACCAAAAGAUUUUGGAGUAUAGACUCACAACCUUCCUGUGUGACAUACCAUACAAUUAAUUACCUUGUCAAAUUUCUUGAGUAUUUUGGUAAAAGCCACCAUGUUGAGAGAGCUGCAUUACAGAAAUAGUAAAAAGAUCAGAAUCUGGUCAUAAAGAGUGAAAAAAAUAUAUAUAUUUACGUGGCUUUUUUUACACUUAUUUAGACUGAAAUUCAAACUCGAUACCAGAUGCUGCUCUACAACUAGAUAUUGUGUGAAAACCAAUGUAAUUUAAUUGAAUAUACUGACUAAAAUAAUAAAAAAAACAAAGGUGGUGUGAACUCAUGGCAUAAAAUUCAACAAGUAAUAUCUGGAAUUUUAGGCUUCAGUUGCUUGUGAAAACGGCAUAGCUAGGCUGAGGCACAGGCCAUCACCAACCUUUCAAUAGAUAACGUGAGCCUUACGUGAAAUCCUUCAUGAACUGGCAUGCAUAUCAACUUAUAAUUGUCUAAUUAAAAUGCUUAACUUCAUCGAUGACAUUUGCUAGAAUAAUUAUCUCUAAUUGAAGAUUAAUUAAUUAAGAAUAACGUAACAAUAAUUAACCUGUAAGUUUUUAGGAGUUGAAGGCCUCUAUAGAGCUCCACAAAUCCUCCUCUAAUCAUCUUCUCAGCAUACUGGAUCUUCUUCUUGUUAAUGAGAUGUUGAGGAGCUGCUGCGUUUUGUGGAUUAUUAAACAAAUCUUCCCAGCAGAGCAUUGAAGCAAAUGCUGAGAUUGUUCUUCUUGGUGUUGAAGCAGGGAUGUCGAUUCUCAGGGCCAUUUUUUUAUGAUUCCCUUUCUUUGUUUUCGACCUUGUCGCUGAAUUUAUUAAAUUCACUCCAUUUUUCUCCAGUACUGCGAUUAUUUCAUCAGUUUCUGAGGAUUCUCCAGAGUUGUCAUUUGAUUCCUUGAUGGUCCCUGUACAAUCAGAAUUAGAAACAAAAGUAGUACGUAGUCCACUAGUAAUAAUAGAUUUAUUUGGUUUUUUUUUUCUUAUAUACAAUUGUUCGGAAUAAAACAUAUCUGAGAAAAGAAAUAAA
RNAcentral lists this long non-coding RNA (29101 nucleotides) under Manihot esculenta (cassava). RNAcentral's name for it is "long non-coding RNA (MESC_LNC008867)". The record is from RNAcentral. Lineage: Eukaryota; Viridiplantae; Streptophyta; Magnoliopsida; Malpighiales; Euphorbiaceae.